UACGUAGGUCCCGAACGUUGUCCGGAUUUAUUGGGCGUAAAGCGAGCGCAGGUGGUUUAUUAAGUCUGGUGUAAAAGGCAGUGGCUCAACCAUUGUAUGCAUUGGAAACUGGUAGACUUGAGUGCAGGAGAGGAAAGUGGAAUUCCAUGUGUAGCGGUGAAAUGCGUAGAUAUAUGGAGGAACACCGGUGGCGAAAGCGGCUCUCUGGCCUGUAACUGACACUGAGGCUCGAAAGCGAGGGGAGCAAACAGG
RNAcentral lists this ribosomal RNA (252 nucleotides) under uncultured bacterium. RNAcentral describes it as "partial 16S ribosomal RNA". It matches the Rfam family "Bacterial small subunit ribosomal RNA", at positions 524 to 776 of the family's 1533-position model. The record is from RNAcentral.